GAUGAACGCUGGCGGCGUGCCUAAUACAUGCAAGUCGAGCGAACAGAUGAGGAGCUUGCUCCUCUGACGUUAGCGGCGGACGGGUGAGUAACACGUGGAUAACCUACCUAUAAGACUGGGAUAACUUCGGGAAACCGGAGCUAAUACCGGAUAAUAUAUUGAACCGCAUGGUUCAAUAGUGAAAGACGGUUUUGCUGUCACUUAUAGAUGGAUCCGCGCCGCAUUAGCUAGUUGGUAAGGUAACGGCUUACCAAGGCGACGAUGCGUAGCCGACCUGAGAGGGUGAUCGGCCACACUGGAACUGAGACACGGUCCAGACUCCUACGGGAGGCAGCAGUAGGGAAUCUUCCGCAAUGGGCGAAAGCCUGACGGAGCAACGCCGCGUGAGUGAUGAAGGUCUUCGGAUCGUAAAACUCUGUUAUUAGGGAAGAACAAAUGUGUAAGUAACUAUGCACGUCUUGACGGUACCUAAACAGAAAGCCACGGCUAACUACGU
Molecule: ribosomal RNA, 496 nt
Filed under: uncultured bacterium
Lineage: Bacteria
Description: partial 16S ribosomal RNA
Rfam family: Bacterial small subunit ribosomal RNA
Source: RNAcentral